Molecule: ribosomal RNA, 498 nt
Filed under: Albuna beutenmulleri
Lineage: Eukaryota; Metazoa; Arthropoda; Insecta; Lepidoptera; Sesiidae
Description: partial large subunit ribosomal RNA
Source: RNAcentral
AAGAGUACGUGAAACCGUUCAGGGGUAAACCUGCGAAACUCGAAUGAACGAACGGAGAGAUUCACCGUCAAUCCUCGGCGUACGAGCGCGUGCCUCGAUGUCGCGUACCGCGGUUUAACGAUCGUGUGUCGAKCGCGGCACRGGUCACGCUCGUCGACGUCCGCGGACGGCGUGCACUUCUCUCUCAGUACAUAUAUAUAUGCAUCGCGACCCGUUCGAUGUCGGCCUAAGCGCCGUGCGGGAGCCUAACGGCCCGGCUCCUAAUCAGGGCUGAGCCGCUAGACCGCGUUCGGUGGCCGGCCGGCCGUCGGACGGUUCAUACGAUAGAAUCGCGCACGCGUGUUCUCCGGAACAGCGCGUCCGGCCCGACGCAAGACCUCGUCGCAGUUCGGCCGUCUGCCCGUGUGCGACACCUAACUCGACGGAUCUGCAUUAAUCGAUAGCUGCCGUGCAGUCUCGGACCGUGCGCGUGUCCAGUCGGCGAUGAUUCAGUUUCGG